AGUACAGUCAGCUAAUUAAGCUCUCGGGCUCAUGUCCCGCUCAUGUUGGUUAAAUUCCUCCCUAUACUG
Molecule: transfer RNA, 69 nt
Filed under: Monognathus jesperseni
Lineage: Eukaryota; Metazoa; Chordata; Actinopteri; Anguilliformes; Monognathidae
Description: tRNA-Met
Source: RNAcentral